CAGCUCGUCAUGCUAGAGCACUUUUUCAAUGUGCUCCCCAACGACAAGACGACGACGCAUUCGUAUGUCAAUCCAUAUCAACUUUCGAUUCCAUUUACUGUGCCUACCAUGGUGACCACGGGUAACAGGGAAUCAGGGUUCGAUUCCAUACAGGGAACCUGACAAACGGCUACCACAUGCAAGGAAGGCAGCAGGCACGCAAAUGACCCACUCCCGACGUGGGACAGUAGUGA
This 233-nucleotide ribosomal RNA is filed under the name Pelobates cultripes (western spadefoot toad). RNAcentral's name for it is "SSU_rRNA_microsporidia". It matches the Rfam family "Eukaryotic small subunit ribosomal RNA", at positions 240 to 470 of the family's 1831-position model. The record is from RNAcentral. Lineage: Eukaryota; Metazoa; Chordata; Amphibia; Anura; Pelobatidae.